GGAAGGAUCAUUACCACACCUAAAAAACUUUCCACGUGAACUGUCAAACCUGUUCUGUGCUUGUGCUGGGUCUGCGUUUUCGGACGCGGACGCGGCGGAGGCUGAACGAAGGCUGGUUUCAUUUGUAUGAGAUCAGCUGAUAUAUUUUUUCAAACCCCUUUUUUACAAAAUGACUGAUCAAUACUGUGAGAACGAAAGUUCUUGCUUUAAACUAGAUAACAACUUUCAGCAGUGGAUGUCUAGGCUCGCACAUCGAUGAAGAACGCUGCGAACUGCGAUACGUAAUGCGAAUUGCAGAAUUCAGUGAGUCAUCGAAAUUUUGAACGCAUAUUGCACUUUCGGGUUAGACCUGGAAGUAUGUCUGUAUCAGUGUCCGUACAUCAAACUUGCCUCUCUUUUUUCUGUGUAGUCAGGAUUGGAGACGUGCAGAUGUGAAGUGUCUCGCGCACUUGCGUCUUCGGACGACAAGCUGUCGAGUCCUUUUAAAGCGACACGAUCUUUCUAUUGUUUCUGUGAAGCGUAUUGCUCGAACGCGGUGAUUUUCGGAUCGCUCGCAGUCGUCGGCGACUUCGGUGAGAACAUAAAGGAGGAAACCUCAAUUCGCGGUAUGUUCGGCUUCGGCUCGACAAUGUUGCUUAUUGUGUGUGGAAUCUGUUUUCGCCUUGAGGUGUACUGAUGGUUGUGUGCUUGAACUGGGAGUCGGUGUGUAGUAGAGUGGUGCAGCAUGCAUGGUUACGCCUUUUAUAUAGAGAGAUGUCUAUUUGGGAAAGUUGUACUUUUUGGCAAGCAUCUUGCCGACUGUAUCUCAAUUGGACCUGAUAUCAGACAAGACUACCCGCUGAACUUAAGCAUAUUAAUAAGCGGAGGAAAAGAAACUAACAAGGAUUCCCCUAGUAACGGCGAGUGAAGCGGGAUGAGCUCAAGCUUAAAAUCUCUGUGCAAGUUUUGCAUGGCGAAUUGUAGUCUAUAGAGGCGAUGUCAGUGCAGCUAUUCGGGGUAAGUUCCUUGGAAGAGGACAGCAUCGAGGGUGAUACUCCCGUUUGUACCUGAGUAGCUUGCGCGUACGACACGUUUUCUUCGAGUCGCGUUGUUUGGGACUGCAGCGCAAAGUAGGUGGUAAAUUCCAUCUAAAGCUAAAUAUUGGUGCGAGACCGAUAGCGAACAAGUACCGUGAGGGAAAGAUGAAAAGAACUUUGAAAAGAGAGUUAAAGAGUACCUGAAACUGCUGAAAGGGAAGCGAAUCGUAUCCAGUGUCUAUAAUCCGUGGCAUAUUUCAUUGGCGAGUGUGUGCGUGCGGCGCGUAAGAAGUAGCUUGCUGCUCUUUGUGUUGUUCUGCGCUUGCUUGCUGGUGCCCUGUGUCGUGGUGGGACGUCAGAGUCAGUUCGUAUGCUGCGGGAAAUGGCUAUCGAGGAGGUAGGUUAGGAGCUUGCUCUUGGCUGUUAUAUCUUGGUAUGCUAGUGGUCGUGGUUGGGACUGAGGUGCCUACAACGUGCUUUAAAGUCUUGCGGUGUCUUAUUUGGUUAACUGUUUGGAUAGCUUGCUAUGCCUAUGGCCUAAUCGAGUGAUGGAUACUGUAGGUAACUUUUGCCGUUCGGGACUUUGACGAAAUGGAGCGAUUCGGCCCGUCUUGAAACACGGACCAAGGAGUCUAACAUGUGUGCAAGUGUUAGGGUGUGGAAACCCCAGCGCGAAAUGAAAGUAAAGGGUAGCGUACGCUGCCUGAGGUAGGAAACCUUUGUUCUCAGAGGUGGCACUAUCGACCGAUCAUGAACCUUCGUGGUGAAAGAUUUGAGUAUGAGCACAUAUGUUGGUACCCGAAAGAUGGUGAACUAUGCCUGAGUAGGGUGAAGCCAGGGGAAACUCUGGUGGAAGCUCGUAGCGAUUCUGACGUGCAAAUCGAUCGUCAAACUUGGGUAUAGGGGCGAAAGACUAAUCGAACCAUCUAGUAGCUGGUUCCCUC
This 1960-nucleotide unclassified non-coding RNA is filed under the name uncultured fungus. RNAcentral's name for it is "sequence contains 18S rRNA gene, ITS1, 5.8S rRNA gene, ITS2, 28S rRNA gene". The stretch from base 812 to 1960 matches the Rfam family "Eukaryotic large subunit ribosomal RNA", at positions 1 to 961 of the family's 3401-position model. The record is from RNAcentral. Lineage: Eukaryota; Fungi.